GGAAUUAUUGGGCGUAAAGCGCGCGCNGGCGNUCCUUUAAGUNUGAUGUGAAAGCCCACGGCUUAACCGUGGAGGGUCAUUGGAAACUGGAGGACUUGAGUACAGAAGAGGAGAGUGGAAUUNCACGUGUAGCGGUGAANUGCGUAGAGAUGUGGAGGAACACCAGUGGCGAAGGCGACUCUCUGGUCUGUAACUGACGCUGAGGCGCGAAAGCGUGGGGAGCGAACAGGAUUAGAUACCCUGGUAGUCCACGCCGUAAACGAUGAGUGCUAGGUGUUAGGGGGUUUCCGCCCCUUAGUGCUGAAGUUAACGCAUUAAGCACUCCGCCUGGGGAGUACGGCCGCAAGGCUGAAACUCAAAAGAAUUGACGGGGGCCCGCACAAGCGGUGGAGCAUGUGGUUUAAUUCGACGCAACGCGAAGAACCUUACCAGGUCUUGACAUCCUCUGCAAUCGGUAGAGAUACCGAGUUCCCUUCGGGGACAGAGUGACAGGUGGUGCAUGGUUGUCGUCAGCUCGUGUCGUGAGAUGUUGGGUUAAGUCCCGCAACGAGCGCAACCCUUGAUCUUAGUUGCCAGCAUUAAGUUGGGCACUCUAAGGUGACUGCCGGUGACAAACCGGAGGAAGGUGGGGAUGACGUCAAAUCAUCAUGCCCCUUAUGACCUGGGCUACACACGUGCUACAAUGGAUGGAACAAAGGGCAGCAAAACCGCGAGGUCAAGCAAAUCCCAUAAAACCAUUCUCAGUUCGGAUUGCAGGCUGCAACUCGCCUGCAUGAAGCCGGAAUCGCUAGUAAUCGCGGAUCAGCAUGCCGCGGUGAAUACGUUCCCGGGCCUUGUACACACCGCCCGUCACACCACGAGAGUUGGUAACACCCGAAGUCGGUGAGGUA
RNAcentral lists this ribosomal RNA (890 nucleotides) under Virgibacillus sp. RNAcentral's name for it is "bacterial SSU rRNA". It matches the Rfam family "Bacterial small subunit ribosomal RNA", at positions 547 to 1437 of the family's 1533-position model. Lineage: Bacteria; Bacillati; Bacillota; Bacilli; Caryophanales; Bacillaceae. The record is from RNAcentral.